AGAAGUUUAUAUUAUCUUCUCCUUACAGUAUUAGACUCUUUGAGUCUCAGGGAUCAAAGCUCCAUGAUAAAGAUCCACCUUUGAUGACAACUCUCAGACACAGGAAGGAACAGGAGACUGAUCAAUGCAAGUGUGGCCAAGGGACUUGGGUUUUACUUUUAUUGCUGAGUCUGGUUUUCUUGAGUUUCAGGGACAUAGAACAUAUUUGCUGUGGCUGUUGGAGAAGAGGCCAAAAGUCACCACCAAACUCAUCUCCAGGGAACAUUCUCUGUCUGCAACUCUCAAGCCCCAAUAGAGUCUUUAUCAAAAGAACCGAUUCAUCAAAAGAGUCUCGUCAUGGUUUACACUUUACUAGUCCCCAAAUCAUUGAGUUAAACUUCCCAUUUUAAUAGAUGAA
Molecule: long non-coding RNA, 397 nt
Filed under: Urocitellus parryii (Arctic ground squirrel)
Lineage: Eukaryota; Metazoa; Chordata; Mammalia; Rodentia; Sciuridae
Description: lncRNA (ENSUPAG00010018956.1)
Source: RNAcentral